This 484-nucleotide ribosomal RNA is filed under the name uncultured bacterium. Its description in RNAcentral is "partial 16S ribosomal RNA". It matches the Rfam family "Bacterial small subunit ribosomal RNA", at positions 30 to 507 of the family's 1533-position model. The record is from RNAcentral.
AUUGAACGCUGGCGGCAGGCCUAACACAUGCAAGUCGAGCGGAUGAAGGGAGCUUGCUCCUGGAUUCAGCGGCGGACGGGUGAGUAAUGCCUAGGAAUCUGCCUGGUAGUGGGGGAUAACGUCCGGAAACGGGCGCUAAUACCGCAUACGUCCUGAGGGAGAAAGCGGGGGAUCUUCGGACCUCACGCUAUCAGAUGAGCCUAGGUCGGAUUAGCUAGUUGGUGGGGUAAAGGCCUACCAAGGCGACGAUCCGUAACUGGUCUGAGAGGAUGAUCAGUCACACUGGAAUUUGGACACGGUCCACACUCCUUCGGGAGGCAGCCGUGGGGAAUAUUGGACAAUGGGCGAAAGCCUGAUCCAGCCAUGCCGCGUGUGUGAAGAAGGUCUUCGGAUUGUAAAGCACUUUAAGUUGGGAGGAAGGGCAGUAAGUUAAUACCUUGCUGUUUUGACGUUACCAACAGAAUAAGCACCGGCUAACUUCGUG